CUCUAUAUAACACCUCCCUAUAACUCCUCCUAUUACUCUGUAUAACCUCUCCCUAUAAAUCCUCCUAUUACUCUGUAUAACACCUCCCUAUAACUCCUCCUAUUACUCCAUAUAACCCUCCAUAUAGCUCCUUCUAUUUCUCUAUAUAACCCUUCCUAUAAUUCCUCUUAUUAUUCCAUAUAACCUUCCCUAUAACUCCUCUUAUUACUCCAUAU
Pelobates cultripes (western spadefoot toad) is the source of this 215-nucleotide non-coding RNA. The record is from the annotation of a GenBank genome assembly. Lineage: Eukaryota; Metazoa; Chordata; Amphibia; Anura; Pelobatidae.